CGCCGUCCACCGCUUCCUCGGCCUCCGCUCCCACUCCCGCUUGCCUCACUCUGUCGCCUCCCGUCGUCCGGUUCCCCGCCCUCGCCGGCUCGAUGGAGCCGGUCUACGCGGUUUGCUCGGGAGAUCUGGAGGGCCGCCACGAGGUCCACCGGCUCGGCAUACGGCUUUGAUAAGCGGUGCAUCGACCGGUGGGUCAAUAUCGG
RNAcentral lists this unclassified non-coding RNA (203 nucleotides) under Hevea brasiliensis (rubber tree). The record is from RNAcentral. Lineage: Eukaryota; Viridiplantae; Streptophyta; Magnoliopsida; Malpighiales; Euphorbiaceae.